GGGCAGUGUGAGUGGGGCAGUGUGAGUGGGGCAGUGUGAGUGGGGCAGUGUGAGAAGGGCAGUGUGAGUGGGGCAGUGUGAGUGGGACAGUGUGAGGUAGUGUGAGCGGGGCAGUGUGAGUGGGGCAGUGUGAGUAGGGCAGUGUGAGUAGGGCAGUGUGAGUGGGGCAGUGUGAGUGGGGCAGUGUGAGUGGGGCAGUGUGAGUGGGGCAGUGUGAGUAUGGCAGUGUGAGUGGGGCAGUGUGAGUGGGGCAGUGUGAGUGGGGCAGUGUGAGUGGGGCAGUGUGAGUGGGACAGUGUGUGAGUGGGGCAGUGUGAGUGGGGCAGUGUGAGUGGGGCAGUGUG
RNAcentral lists this long non-coding RNA (344 nucleotides) under Salmo salar (Atlantic salmon). RNAcentral's name for it is "lncRNA (ENSSSAG00000109987.1)". The record is from RNAcentral. Lineage: Eukaryota; Metazoa; Chordata; Actinopteri; Salmoniformes; Salmonidae.